UCCCAAGUGGUCUAGUGGUUCGGAUUCCGUGCUCUCACCGCGGCGGCCGGGGUUCGAUUCCCCGUUUGGGAA
This 72-nucleotide transfer RNA is filed under the name Octopus vulgaris (common octopus). It matches the Rfam family "tRNA". Rfam says of the family: Transfer RNA (tRNA) molecules are approximately 80 nucleotides in length. Their secondary structure includes four short double-helical elements and three loops (D, anti-codon, and T loops). RNAcentral also lists the same sequence under 1 other name. The record is from Rfam by way of RNAcentral. Lineage: Eukaryota; Metazoa; Mollusca; Cephalopoda; Octopoda; Octopodidae.